This 909-nucleotide ribosomal RNA is filed under the name uncultured bacterium. Its description in RNAcentral is "bacterial SSU rRNA". It matches the Rfam family "Bacterial small subunit ribosomal RNA", at positions 33 to 933 of the family's 1533-position model. The record is from RNAcentral.
ACGCUAGCUACAGGCUUAACACAUGCAAGUCGAGGGGAAACGGCAUUGAGUGCUUGCACUCUUUGGACGUCGACCGGCGCACGGGUGAGUAACGCGUAUCCAACCUUCCCAUUACUGUGGGAUAACCUGCCGAAAGGCAGACUAAUACCGCAUAGUCUUCGAUGACGGCAUCAGAUUUGAAGUAAAGAUUUAUCGGUAAUGGAUGGGGAUGCGUCUGAUUAGCUUGUUGGCGGGGUAACGGCCCACCAAGGCUACGAUCAGUAGGGGUUCUGAGAGGAAGGUCCCCCACAUUGGAACUGAGACACGGUCCAAACUCCUACGGGAGGCAGCAGUGAGGAAUAUUGGUCAAUGGACGGAAGUCUGAACCAGCCAAGUAGCGUGCAGGAUGACGGCCCUAUGGGUUGUAAACUGCUUUUGUAUGGGGAUAAAGUUAGGGACGUGUCCCUAUUUGCAGGUACCAUACGAAUAAGGACCGGCUAAUUCCGUGCCAGCAGCCGCGGUAAUACGGAAGGUCCAGGCGUUAUCCGGAUUUAUUGGGUUUAAAGGGAGCGUAGGCUGGAGAUUAAGUGUGUUGUGAAAUGUAGACGCUCAACGUCUGAAUUGCAGCGCAUACUGGUUUCCUUGAGUACGCACAACGUUGGCGGAAUUCGUCGUGUAGCGGUGAAAUGCUUAGAUAUGACGAAGAACUCCGAUUGCGAAGGCAGCUGACGGGAGCGCAACUGACGCUUAAGCUCGAAGGUGCGGGUAUCAAACAGGAUUAGAUACCCUGGUAGUCCGCACAGUAAACGAUGGAUGCCCGCUGUUGGUACCUGGUAUCAGCGGCUAAGCGAAAGCAUUAAGCAUCCCACCUGGGGAGUACGCCGGCAACGGUGAAACUCAAAGGAAUUGACGGGGGCCCGCACAAGCGGA